CCAGAAUCCAGUGGCAGACUCUGGACUUGAGGGUUCUAGGCUGUGGUCUGUAGAAGCAAAGCAGAGAAGGACUCAAAUCCAGGCCAACUGCAUGGCUGUCUGAGGUGUUGGAACAGAAGGAGGUCCAUUCCUGUUGGUGACAACACUGUGGCCCUGUUCUGGAAUGACCGAGGUAUAAAGGUUGCCCCCAAGAAAGAGCAGCUGAGUCCUUGCGUCUUGUGGCACCUAGCGUGCCCAGCACUGAGUCCGUGGGAGCUGAAGGCAGCCCGGCCCCUUCUCAUGGGCAGUGCCCACCUGUGCUGAGGUCCUGUAGCCGUGGCAAUAAGAGCCCUCCGAGGUAGGCGCCUUCAAAGGAACAGAACCCUGAGACAGCAGAGAAAGAAGAUGGUUCUCUGCAGCCAAGGAGCCAAUUGUCACAGGACUUUUUUUCGCUUAAGAAGGUGAGGGAAAAACAGAAUUAACCUAUGGAGCGUUGCCUCCAUUCCUGGGUCCUUCUG
This 497-nucleotide long non-coding RNA is filed under the name Ursus maritimus (polar bear). RNAcentral's name for it is "lncRNA (ENSUMAG00000023040.1)". Lineage: Eukaryota; Metazoa; Chordata; Mammalia; Carnivora; Ursidae. The record is from RNAcentral.